UACCAUGGUUUUAACGGGUAACGGGGAAUUAGGGUUCGAUUCCGGAGAGGGAGCCUGAGAAACGGCUACCACAUCCAAGGAAGGCAGCAGGCGCGCAAAUUACCCAAUCCCGACACGGGGAGGUAGUGACAAUAAAUAACAAUAUGGGGCUCUUACGAGUCUUGUAAUUGGAAUGAGUACAAUUUAAAUCUCUUAACGAGGAACAAUUGGAGGGCAAGUCUGGUGCCAGCAGCCGCGGUAAUUCCAGCUCCAAUAGCGUAUAUUAAAGUUGUUGCAGUUAAAAAGCUCGUAGUUGAAUUUCGGGAUUUAUCCGUCGGUCGGGCUUUUGGGUCUGUACUGGCGUGAUGGAUUCCUACCUUCUGAAUAACCGGCAUGUCAUUAAUUUGGUGCGCCGGGGAAGCAGGACUGUUACCUUGAAAAAAUUAGAGUGCUUAAAGCAGGCUUAUGCCUGAAUACAUUAGCAUGGAAUAAUGAAAUAGGACGGCAUGGUUCUAUUUUGUUGGUUUCUAGGAUCACCGUAAUGAUUAAUAGGGAUAGUUGGGGGCAUUAGUAUUCAAUUGUCAGAGGUGAAAUUCUUGGAUUUAUUGAAGACUAACUUCUGCGAAAGCAUUUGCCAAGGAUGUUUUCAUUAAUCAAGAACGAAAGUUAGGGGAUCGAAGACGAUCAGAUACCGUCGUAGUCUUAACCAUAAACUAUGCCGACUAGGGAUCGGACGAUGUUAAUUUUUUAAUGACUCGUUCGGCGCCUUACGGGAAACCAAAGUGUUU
This 767-nucleotide ribosomal RNA is filed under the name uncultured Acaulospora. Its description in RNAcentral is "SSU rRNA". It matches the Rfam family "Eukaryotic small subunit ribosomal RNA", at positions 342 to 1108 of the family's 1831-position model. The record is from RNAcentral. Lineage: Eukaryota; Fungi; Glomeromycota; Glomeromycetes; Diversisporales; Acaulosporaceae.